RNAcentral lists this long non-coding RNA (1873 nucleotides) under Homo sapiens (human). RNAcentral describes it as "HSALNT0364818". Lineage: Eukaryota; Metazoa; Chordata; Mammalia; Primates; Hominidae. The record is from RNAcentral.
GCUGGCACCUUGAUCUUGGACUUCUCAGACUUCAAAACUUUGGAUAAGGAAGUUGAGGACAGCAAGUCACAGUCACAGUCUGAGCCAAUUCUCAGUGGCCAGGGCUAUAGAAGGACACAGGCCAUAAGAAGAUAAGGAGGAACCUUGCACUGCUGGCCUCUGACAGUGAGUAGAACCCAAUCUCUCUCUAAGCCAGUGACCCAAUUUCCUCUGUCUUAAACAGCUCAUAGUACAGCUGGCUCUUUCUCAUUCUUCAGGCUGCUGUGAAAUCUUCCCUGACUUCCCCAGCAUAGGACACAGAUCCUCCCUGCUGUUCUUAAUAACACACUUUUUUUUUUAUUUCUUUCAGGGCUUCUCACCAUCUGGUUAUUUUAUUGAUUUGUUUACAUGUUUAUUGUCUGUUUUUCCCACCAGAAUGCAAGCUCCACAAGGCCAGGAAUCUUUCCUGUCCAAUUCACCACAGCAGCCUCAACCUGGCAGACAGUUCAGCAUACAGCUAAAUAAUGGCUCCCAAAGAUGUGUCUACAUCCUAAUCUCCAGAAUCUGUGAAUGUUACUUUAUGUGGCAAGUACGUGGCAGAUGUAAUUAAGUCAAGGAUCUUUGGAUGGUUAUCCUGAAUUAUCUGGGUGGGCCCUAAAUACAAUCACAAGUGUCCUUAUAGGAGAGAGGCUGAAGGAGAUUUGGUACCAACAGAAGAGGAGGAGGAAAUUGUGAUCAUGCAGAAACUGGAGUGAUGGAGUCACAAGCCAAGGAAUGCCAGCAGCCACCAGAAGCCGAAAGAGGCCCUGCCAACACCUUGAUUUAGGCCUAAUGAAACUGAGUUUAGAUUUCUGGACCCCAGAACUGUGAAAGAAUAAAUUUCUGUUGUGUUAAGCCCCUAAUUUUGUGGUAAUGUGUCACAGCAGCCCUUGGAACCUAAUACACUCCCCAAGCCAUCACAAUGACGGUUAAGGGAAGUAAAACGAUAAAAUUCAUAAAGAUAAAGAGAAUAACAGAAAAGGAUUUCAAUAAGUGUUUGGAAGAUGGAAAAGGAAAGAAUGAGAAGCAACUUACUUAUCAGAGUAGAGAAAAUUACCUGAGAGCCUGGAGAAAGGGAAGUGAAUAAGACAGAGUCAGUUCUCCCCAGAGAAGCCAGACACAGGGUCAUUGAGCACCAAGCAGGGGCAGGAGUGGGGUGCAGGGCUGGCACUGGGGAUAGAGUGGAAACAUUAACAUGGACCUUGGAUCCCUGGGCCCUGACUCCUCUGACACUGGUCUUCCUGAACUAGCUGCAUCCCUUCUUGUCAUGCCCUCCACUCCAGUCCCUGCCCUUGACCCCACCACCACCACCUCAGCUGACACACAUCAGUUCAGCUCACACUCCUUCUGUUAGAAAGAACCAGUCACAAGGUUCUUCCUGAAUGCAAUGGGGCUGGGAAAUGCUGAGCAGUGCCAGGCACAGGCUUCCUCUAAACCACUCUGCACCAAGGAAGAAGGACAUUUUUUUGAUGGUCUAAUACCCGUCUCUGCCACACUCUCUAAGGCAAUUAAUUUUAAAAUUUUAGAAUACUGGAAAUAAAGAAAAGAUACUAAAAACUUCCAGAAUGAAAAACCAGGUCACAUAUUGCCUUAUGGAUCAGCAAUCUGACUGGCAUCAGCCUUUUCAAUAGCAAUACAAAAUGCCAGAAGACAACAGGGCAAUGCCCUCAAAAUUCUGAGAGAAAAUAUCUUGCUAAUAAAACAUCUAUUACACCUAGCAAGCAGCCAUCCCAAAGGCAGAAGGCUGUGAAAGAACAAAAGGGAGCUAUCUAGGGAGAAAAACAUAACUGUUAAUUAUUAUUAUAAUAAUAAUAUAUUUUUAGAGACAAGGUCUCUGUCAACCCAUGCUGAGGUG